UGCAGUCGGACGACAGGCGAGGAAUCCGCAAGGAGGAAUCGUGCUGAGUGGCGAACGGGUGAGUAAGACAUGGGGACGUACCCUCAAGAGGGGGAUAGCAUUCCGAAAGGGAUGGUAAUACCCCGUAAGCUCGAGAGAGGGAAGGUGCAACAGCACCGCUUGAGGAGCGACUCAUGGCCCAUCAGUUAGUUGGUGAGGUAAAGGCCCACCAAGGCUAUGACGGGUAGCUGGUCUGAGAGGAUGGUCAGCCACACUGGGACUGAGACACGGCCCAGACUCCUACGGGAGGCAGCAGUGGGGAAUUUUUCCCAAUGGGCGAAAGCCUGAGGGAGCGACGCCGCGUGGAGGAAGGAGUCUUUCGAGAUGUAAACUCCUGUUGUAAGGGAGCAAGGGUAUAUGUAGUGGAAAGGCAUAUACUCGGAUAGUACCUUACGAGGAAGCCCCGGCUAACUACGUGCCAGCAGCCGCGGUAAUACGUAGGGGGCGAGCGUUGUCCGGAGUUACUGGGCGUAAAGGGUGCGUAGGUGGCCGAUAAAGUCAAUUGUGAAAUUCCACGGCUCAACUGUGGGAGUGCGGUUGAAACUAAUCGGCUUGAGGUCAGGUCAGGAAGAUGGAAUUGUCAGUGUAGGGGUGAAAUCCGUAGAUAUUGGCAAGAACGCCGGUGGUGAAGACGGUCUUCUGGGCUGAUACUGACACUGAGGCACGAAAGCUAGGGGAGCGAACGGGAUUAGAUACCCCGGUAGUCCUAGCCGUAAACGAUGUUCACUGAGUAUGGGAGGCGUUAGCCAUCCGUGCUGAAGCAAACGCGUUAAGUGAACCGCCUGGGGAGUACGGCCGCAAGGUUGAAACUCAAAGGAA
This 858-nucleotide ribosomal RNA is filed under the name uncultured bacterium. RNAcentral's name for it is "bacterial SSU rRNA". It matches the Rfam family "Bacterial small subunit ribosomal RNA", at positions 56 to 909 of the family's 1533-position model. The record is from RNAcentral.